UCCGGCGUGAUGUAAUAGGUAGCAUGGCUGACUGUUACUCAGUCUGUCCUGGUUCGAGUCCAGGCGCCGGAG
This 72-nucleotide transfer RNA is filed under the name marine sediment metagenome. Its description in RNAcentral is "tRNA-Asn". It matches the Rfam family "tRNA". Rfam says of the family: Transfer RNA (tRNA) molecules are approximately 80 nucleotides in length. The record is from RNAcentral.